RNAcentral lists this long non-coding RNA (219 nucleotides) under Elaeis guineensis (African oil palm). RNAcentral's name for it is "long non-coding RNA (EGUI_LNC058584)". The record is from RNAcentral. Lineage: Eukaryota; Viridiplantae; Streptophyta; Magnoliopsida; Arecales; Arecaceae.
GUUUAGUGAAGCAAUGGAUAAGGUCUUGUCCACUUAUUGGUGUGUGCUCACCAAUAACUGUUAGAUGAUGUGUGUAUAGAUUGGUAGGAUCACGGUAUCCAUUAGAAACCAAUCGCAUCUAGGUUUUCAUUUUUCCAUUCGAGGAGUGUGGGAGAUUCGAACAAAUAGUUAGAGCCUUAUUUGAUCUUAAAAAUCUCUAAAAUAAAUAUUUAAUAAGUA